AGAAUCAACGCUGGCGGCGUGCCUCAGACAUGCAAGUCGAACGAUUAAAGCUCUCUUCGGAGAGUGUAUAGAGUGGCGCACGGGUGAGUAACACGUAAGUAAUCUACCUUCGAGUGGGGAAUAACCCGGGGAAACCCGAGCUAAUACCGCAUAAUGCAGCGGCACCUAAUGGUGACAGUUGUUAAAGAUUUAUCGCUUGAAGAGGAGCUUGCGGCAGAUUAGCUAGUUGGUAAGGUAAUGGCUUACCAAGGCUACGAUCUGUAACCGGUCUAAGAGGAACGGUCGGUCACACUGACACUGAAUAACGGGUCAGACUCCUACGGGAGGCAGCAGUCGGGAAUUUUGGGGCAAUGGGCGAAAAGCCUGACCCAGCAAACGCCGCGUGAAGGAUGAAGUAUUUCGGUAAUGUAAAACUUCGAAAAGAAAUAGGGAAGAAAUAAAAUGAACGGUAACCAAUUUAAUAAAGGUACCGGCGUAAACUUAACGUGCCAAGCAAGCCGAC
This 502-nucleotide ribosomal RNA is filed under the name uncultured soil bacterium. RNAcentral's name for it is "bacterial SSU rRNA". It matches the Rfam family "Bacterial small subunit ribosomal RNA", at positions 26 to 516 of the family's 1533-position model. The record is from RNAcentral.